This 240-nucleotide unclassified non-coding RNA is filed under the name soil metagenome. RNAcentral describes it as "partial contains 5.8S ribosomal RNA, internal transcribed spacer 2, and large subunit ribosomal RNA". The record is from RNAcentral.
AACAUCGCGCACCUGCGGGAACCUGCGGAAGGAUCAUUAACAAUGCUUCAAAAAGCAAUUCACCCAUUGUGCACAUGUUUCCCGUCAAUUUGGCAGGCUUCGGUUCAUAUGCGAGGGGAGGAUUCUUCUAUUGAAGAAUCCCCCCCCUCAAAGCUGCACCGACCCUUAUCUUGGGCAGGCGGAAAAAUUUGAAAAUUUUUCUAAACCCCCCCAGAAUAGAGGCGGCCUGCCAAAAUUUUU